Molecule: ribosomal RNA, 274 nt
Filed under: uncultured bacterium
Lineage: Bacteria
Description: partial 16S ribosomal RNA
Rfam family: Bacterial small subunit ribosomal RNA
Source: RNAcentral
AUACGGAGGGUGCAAGCGUUAAUCGGAAUUACUGGGCAUAAAGGGUUCGUAGGCGGUUAUUUAAGUCAGAUGUGAAAGCCCCGGGCUCAACCUGGGAAUUGCAUCUGAUACUGGGUAACUAGAGUUUAAGAGAGGAGUGUGGAAUUUCCGGUGUAGCGGUGAAAUGCAUAGAGAUCGGAAGGAACAUCAGUGGCGAAGGCGGCACUCUGGCUUAAAACUGACGCUGAGGAACGAAAGCGUGGGUAGCAAACAGGAUUAGAAACCCUAGUAGUCC